UACGAAGGGGGCUAGCGUUGCUCGGAAUCACUGGGCGUAAAGGGUGCGUAGGCGGAUCUUUAAGUCAGGGGUGAAAUCCUGGAGCUCAACUCCAGAACUGCCUUUGAUACUGGGGAUCUCGAGUCCGGGAGAGGUGAAUGGAACUGCGAGUGUAGAGGUGAAAUUCGUAGAUAUUCGCAAGAACACCAGUGGCGAAGGCGGCUCACUGGCCCGGUACUGACGCUGAGGUGCGAAAGCGUGGGGAGCAAACAGG
Molecule: ribosomal RNA, 253 nt
Filed under: uncultured bacterium
Lineage: Bacteria
Description: partial 16S ribosomal RNA
Rfam family: Bacterial small subunit ribosomal RNA
Source: RNAcentral